This 886-nucleotide ribosomal RNA is filed under the name uncultured Acinetobacter sp. Its description in RNAcentral is "partial 16S ribosomal RNA". It matches the Rfam family "Bacterial small subunit ribosomal RNA", at positions 28 to 885 of the family's 1533-position model. The record is from RNAcentral. Lineage: Bacteria; Pseudomonadati; Pseudomonadota; Gammaproteobacteria; Moraxellales; Moraxellaceae.
AUUGAACGCUGGCGGCAGGCUUAACACAUGCAAGUCGAGCGGGGAAGGGUAGCUUGCUACCUGACCUAGCGGCGGACGGGUGAGUAAUGCUUAGGAAUCUGCCUAUUAGUGGGGGACAACAUUCCGAAAGGAAUGCUAAUACCGCAUACGCCCUACGGGGGAAAGCAGGGGAUCUUCGGACCUUGCGCUAAUAGAUGAGCCUAAGUCAGAUUAGCUAGUUGGUGGGGUAAAGGCCUACCAAGGCGACGAUCUGUAGCGGGUCUGAGAGGAUGAUCCGCCACACUGGGACUGAGACACGGCCCAGACUCCUACGGGAGGCAGCAGUGGGGAAUAUUGGACAAUGGGCGCAAGCCUGAUCCAGCCAUGCCGCGUGUGUGAAGAAGGCCUUUUGGUUGCAAAGCACUUUAAGCGAGGAGGAGGCUACUUGGAUUAAUACUCUAGGAUAGUGGACGUUACUCGCAGAAUAAGCACCGGCUAACUCUGUGCCAGCAGCCGCGGUAAUACAGAGGGUGCGAGCGUUAAUCGGAUUUACUGGGCGUAAAGCGUGCGUAGGCGGCUUUUUAAGUCGGAUGUGAAAUCCCUGAGCUUAACUUAGGAAUUGCAUUCGAUACUGGGAAGCUAGAGUAUGGGAGAGGAUGGUAGAAUUCCAGGUGUAGCGGUGAAAUGCGUAGAGAUCUGGAGGAAUACCGAUGGCGAAAGCAGCCAUCUGGCCUAAUACUGACGCUGAGGUACGAAAGCAUGGGGAGCAAACAGGAUUUAUACCCUGGUAGUUCCAAGGCGAUUCACAGUGGAUAUCAAGCUUAUCGAUACCGUCGACCUCGAGGGGGGGCCGGGUCCACCUUUGUUCUCCUUGUGAAGAAAAAAAUAGCACGCCUGGCGUAAUCAC